RNAcentral lists this ribosomal RNA (301 nucleotides) under uncultured bacterium. RNAcentral describes it as "partial 16S ribosomal RNA". It matches the Rfam family "Bacterial small subunit ribosomal RNA", at positions 509 to 809 of the family's 1533-position model. The record is from RNAcentral.
CAGUAGCCACGGUAAUACGUAGGUGGCAAGCGUUGUCCGGAAUUAUUGGGCGUAAAGGGCUCGCAGGUGGUUUAAUAAGUCUGAUGUGAAAGCCCACGGCUCAACCGUGGAGGGUCAUUGGAAACUGUUAAACUUGAGUGCAGGAGAGAAAAGUGGAAUUCCUAGUGUAGCGGUGAAAUGCGUAGAGAUUAGGAGGAACACCAGAGGCGAAGGCGGCUUUUUGGCCUGUAACUGACACUGAGGCGCGAAAGCGUGGGGAGCAAACAGGAUUAGAUACCCCGGUAGUCCCUGUCUCUUAUAA